RNAcentral lists this transfer RNA (77 nucleotides) under Deltaproteobacteria bacterium. Its description in RNAcentral is "tRNA-Met". It matches the Rfam family "tRNA". Rfam says of the family: Transfer RNA (tRNA) molecules are approximately 80 nucleotides in length. Their secondary structure includes four short double-helical elements and three loops (D, anti-codon, and T loops). The record is from RNAcentral. RNAcentral also lists the same sequence under 1 other name. Lineage: Bacteria; Pseudomonadati; Myxococcota; Myxococcia.
GGGCCCAUGGCUCAAUUGGUUAGAGCAACCGGCCCAUAACCGGUUGGUUCCAGGUUCGAGUCCUGGUGGGCCCACCA